RNAcentral lists this ribosomal RNA (619 nucleotides) under Acinetobacter baumannii. Its description in RNAcentral is "partial 23S ribosomal RNA". It matches the Rfam family "Bacterial large subunit ribosomal RNA", at positions 1 to 671 of the family's 2925-position model. Lineage: Bacteria; Pseudomonadati; Pseudomonadota; Gammaproteobacteria; Moraxellales; Moraxellaceae. The record is from RNAcentral.
AGUCAAGUAAUUAAGUGCAUGUGGUGGAUGCCUUGGCAGUCAGAGGCGAUGAAAGACGUGAUAGCCUGCGAAAAGCUCCGGGGAGGCGGCAAAUAUCCUUUGAUCCGGAGAUGUCUGAAUGGGGGAACCCACCUACUUUAAGGUAGGUAUUGCAACAUGAAUACAUAGUGUUGCAAGGCGAACGAGGGGAAGUGAAACAUCUCAGUACCCUUAGGAAAAGAAAUCAAUUGAGAUUCCCUCAGUAGCGGCGAGCGAACGGGGAUCAGCCCAUUAAGUUAUGUGUGUUUUAGUGGAACGCUCUGGGAAGUGCGAACGUAGAGGGUGAUAUUCCCGUACACGAAAGGGCACACAUAAUGAUGACGAGUAGGGCGAGGCACGUGAAACCUUGUCUGAAUAUGGGGGGACCAUCCUCCAAGGCUAAAUACUCCUGACUGACCGAUAGUGAACCAGUACCGUGAGGGAAAGGCGAAAAGAACCCCUGUGAGGGGAGUGAAAUAGAUCCUGAAACCGCAUGCAUACAAGCAGUGGGAGCACCUUCGUGGUGUGACUGCGUACCUUUUGUAUAAUGGGUCAGCGACUUAUAUUCAGUAGCGAGGUUAACCGUAUAGGGGAGCCGUAG